This 253-nucleotide ribosomal RNA is filed under the name uncultured bacterium. RNAcentral's name for it is "partial 16S ribosomal RNA". It matches the Rfam family "Bacterial small subunit ribosomal RNA", at positions 524 to 776 of the family's 1533-position model. The record is from RNAcentral.
UACGUAGGGUGCAAGCGUUGUCCGGAAUUAUUGGGCGUAAAGAGCUCGUAGGCGGUCUGUCGCGUCUGCUGUGAAAACUCAGGGCUUAACCCUGAGCUUGCAGUGGGUACGGGCAGACUAGAGUGCUGUAGGGGAGACUGGAAUUCCUGGUGUAGCGGUGAAAUGCGCAGAUAUCAGGAGGAACACCGGUGGCGAAGGCGGGUCUCUGGGCCGAUACUGACGCUGAGGAGCGAAAGCGUGGGGAGCGAACAGG